GGGACACGUGGUAUCCUGUCUGAAUAUGGGGGGACCAUCCUCCAAGGCUAAAUACUCCUGACUGACCGAUAGUGAACCAGUACCGUGAGGGAAAGGCGAAAAGAACCCCGGCGAGGGGAGUGAAAAAGAACCUGAAACCGUGUACGUACAAGCAGUGGGAGCCUCUUAAUGGGGUGACUGCGUACCUUUUGUAUAAUGGGUCAGCGACUUAUAUUCUGUAGCAAGGUUAACCGAAUAGGGGAGCCGAAGGGAAACCGAGUCUUAACUGGGCGUUAAGUUGCAGGGUAUAGACCCGAAACCCGGUGAUCUAGCCAUGGGCAGGUUGAAGGUUGGGUAACACUAACUGGAGGACCGAACCGACUAAUGUUGAAAAAUUAGCGGAUGACUUGUGGCUGGGGGUGAAAGGCCAAUCAAACCGGGAGAUAGCUGGUUCUCCCCGAAAGCUAUUUAGGUAGCGCCUCGUGAAUUCAUCUCCGGGGGUAGAGCACUGUUUCGGCAAGGGGGUCAUCCCGACUUACCAACCCGAUGCAAACUGCGAAUACCGGAGAAUGUUAUCACGGGAGACACACGGCGGGUGCUAACGUCCGUCGUGAAGAGGGAAACAACCCAGACCGCCAGCUAAGGUCCCAAAGUCAUGGUUAAGUGGGAAACGAUGUGGGAAGGCCCAGACAGCCAGGAUGUUGGCUUAGAAGCAGCCAUCAUUUAAAGAAAGCGUAAUAGCUCACUGGUCGAGUCGGCCUGCGCGGAAGAUGUAACGGGGCUAAACCAUGCACCGAAGCUGCGGCAGCGACGCUUAUGCGUUGUUGGGUAGGGGAGCGUUCUGUAAGCCUGUGAAGGUGGCCUGUGAGGGUUGCUGGAGGUAUCAGAAGUGCGAAUGCUGACAUAAGUAACGAUAAAGCGGGUGAAAAGCCCGCUCGCCGGAAGACCAAGGGUUCCUGUCCAACGUUAAUCGGGGCAGGGUGAGUCGACCCCUAAGGCGAGGCCGAAAGGCGUAGUCGAUGGGAAACAGGUUAAUAUUCCUGUACUUGGUGUUACUGCGAAGGGGGGACGGAGAAGGCUAUGUUGGCCGGGCGACGGUUGUCCCGGUUUAAGCGUGUAGGCUGGUUUUCCAGGCAAAUCCGGAAAAUCAAGGCUGAGGCGUGAUGACGAGGCACUACGGUGCUGAAGCGACAAAUGCCCUGCUUCCAGGAAAAGCCUCUAAGCAUCAGGUAACAUCAAAUCGUACCCCAAACCGACACAGGUGGUCAGGUAGAGAAUACCAAGGCGCUUGAGAGAACUCGGGUGAAGGAACUAGGCAAAAUGGUGCCGUAACUUCGGGAGAAGGCACGCUGAUAUGUAGGUGAAGCGACUUGCUCGUGGAGCUGAAAUCAGUCGAAGAUACCAGCUGGCUGCAACUGUUUAUUAAAAACACAGCACUGUGCAAACACGAAAGUGGACGUAUACGGUGUGACGCCUGCCCGGUGCCGGAAGGUUAAUUGAUGGGGUUAGCGGUAACGCGAAGCUCUUGAUCGAAGCCCCGGUAAACGGCGGCCGUAACUAUAACGGUCCUAAGGUAGCGAAAUUCCUUGUCGGGUAAGUUCCGACCUGCACGAAUGGCGUAAUGAUGGCCAGGCUGUCUCCACCCGAGACUCAGUGAAAUUGAACUCGCUGUGAAGAUGCAGUGUACCCGCGGCAAGACGGAAAGACCCCGUGAACCUUUACUAUAGCUUGACACUGAACAUUGAGCCUUGAUGUGUAGGAUAGGUGGGAGGCUUUGAAGUGUGGACGCCAGUCUGCAUGGAGCCGACCUUGAAAUACCACCCUUUAAUGUUUGAUGUUCUAACGUGGGCCCCUUACCGGGGUUGCGGACAGUGUCUGGUGGGUAGUUUGACUGGGGCGGUCUCCUCCUAAAGAGUAACGGAGGAGCACGAAGGUUGGCUAAUCCUGGUCGGACAUCAGGAGGUUAGUGCAAUGGCAUAAGCCAGCUUGACUGCGAGCGUGACGGCGCGAGCAGGUGCGAAAGCAGGUCAUAGUGAUCCGGUGGUUCUGAAUGGAAGGGCCAUCGCUCAACGGAUAAAAGGUACUCCGGGGAUAACAGGCUGAUACCGCCCAAGAGUUCAUAUCGACGGCGGUGUUUGGCACCUCGAUGUCGGCUCAUCACAUCCUGGGGCUGAAGUAGGUCCCAAGGGUAUGGCUGUUCGCCAUUUAAAGUGGUACGCGAGCUGGGUUUAGAACGUCGUGAGACAGUUCGGUCCCUAUCUGCCGUGGGCGCUGGAGAACUGAGGGGGGCUGCUCCUAGUACGAGAGGACCGGAGUGGACGCAUCACUGGUGUUCGGGUUGUCAUGCCAAUGGCACUGCCCGGUAGCUAAAUGCGGAAGAGA
This 2361-nucleotide ribosomal RNA is filed under the name Escherichia coli. RNAcentral describes it as "partial 23S ribosomal RNA". It matches the Rfam family "Bacterial large subunit ribosomal RNA", at positions 419 to 2764 of the family's 2925-position model. Lineage: Bacteria; Pseudomonadati; Pseudomonadota; Gammaproteobacteria; Enterobacterales; Enterobacteriaceae. The record is from RNAcentral.